RNAcentral lists this small RNA (259 nucleotides) under Arabidopsis thaliana (thale cress). RNAcentral's name for it is "ATSL245930". Lineage: Eukaryota; Viridiplantae; Streptophyta; Magnoliopsida; Brassicales; Brassicaceae. The record is from RNAcentral.
UUUAUUUUUAUUUCUUUUAAUAGUAAUAUAUUAUAUUUAUUUUGGUUAUUUUUUAUUUAAUUACUAUCGCACCCGCUGGUUUACCAGUCAUAAAACUAACACAAAUGCACCCAUUAUCAAACGCUCAACCAGUCGUUCAAAACGUUUGAUAACGCUUGAAACCGCAACCGCCCGUUUCCGCAAACUCCCGCAACCGCAACCGCACCCGCUGCGUUUAAACCAGUCAGGCCCUUAGUCCCGUUCCAACUUAGCCGGUUGA